Spiroplasma culicicola AES-1 is the source of this 74-nucleotide transfer RNA. It matches the Rfam family "tRNA". From Rfam's summary of the family: Transfer RNA (tRNA) molecules are approximately 80 nucleotides in length. Their secondary structure includes four short double-helical elements and three loops (D, anti-codon, and T loops). The record is from Rfam. Lineage: Bacteria; Bacillati; Mycoplasmatota; Mollicutes; Entomoplasmatales; Spiroplasmataceae.
GGACCUUUAGCUCAGUUGGUUAGAGCAUCCGGCUCAUAACCGGAUGGUCAUUGGUUCGAGUCCAAUAAGGUCCA